UACGUAGGGUGCGAGCGUUAAUCGGAAUUACUGGGCGUAAAGGGUGCGCAGGUGGUUACGUAAGUCUGAUGUGAAAGCCCCGGGCUCAACCUGGGAACUGCAUUGGAGACUGCGUGGCUAGAGUGUGGCAGAGGGGGGUGGAAUUCCGCGUGUAGCAGUGAAAUGCGUAGAGAUGCGGAGGAACACCAAUGGCGAAGGCAGCCCCCUGGGAUGACACUGACGCUCAUGCACGAAAGCGUGGGGAGCAAACAGG
RNAcentral lists this ribosomal RNA (253 nucleotides) under uncultured bacterium. RNAcentral's name for it is "partial 16S ribosomal RNA". It matches the Rfam family "Bacterial small subunit ribosomal RNA", at positions 524 to 776 of the family's 1533-position model. The record is from RNAcentral.